This 465-nucleotide ribosomal RNA is filed under the name uncultured bacterium. RNAcentral's name for it is "partial 16S ribosomal RNA". It matches the Rfam family "Bacterial small subunit ribosomal RNA", at positions 28 to 507 of the family's 1533-position model. The record is from RNAcentral.
GAUGAACGCUGGCGGCGUGCUUAACACAUGCAAGUCGAACGGAAAGGCUCCUGCUUGCAGGGGUACUCGAGUGGCGAACGGGUGAGUAACACGUGGGUGAUCUGCCCUGCACUUCGGGAUAAGCCUGGGAAACUGGGUCUAAUACCGGAUAGGACGAUGGUUUGGAUGCCAUUGUGGAAAGUUUUUCGGUGUGGGAUGAGCUCGCGGCCUAUCAGCUUGUUGGUGGGGUAAUGGCCUACCAAGGCGUCGACGGGUAGCCGGCCUGAGAGGGUGUACGGCCACAUUGGGACUGAGAUACGGCCCAGACUCCUACGGGAGGCAGCAGUGGGGAAUAUUGCCCAAUGGGCGCAAGCCUGAUGCAGCGACGCCGCGUGGGGGAUGACGGCCUUCGGGUUGUAAACUCCUUUCGCUAGGGACGAAGCGCAAGUGACGGUACCUGAAGAAGAAGCACCGGCUAACUACGUG